This 253-nucleotide ribosomal RNA is filed under the name uncultured bacterium. RNAcentral describes it as "partial 16S ribosomal RNA". It matches the Rfam family "Bacterial small subunit ribosomal RNA", at positions 524 to 776 of the family's 1533-position model. The record is from RNAcentral.
UACGGAGGGUGCAAACGUUGCUCGGAAUCAUUGGGCGUAAAGCGCACGUAGGCGGCCUAGCAAGUCGGGUGUGAAAUCCCUCGGCUUAACCGAGGAAGUGCAUUCGAAACUACUGGGCUUGAAUACUCAAGAGGGUCUCGGAAUUCCCGGUGUAGAGGUGAAAUUCGUAGAUAUCGGGAGGAACACCAGUGGCGAAGGCGGAGACCUGGGGAGAUAUUGACGCUGAGGUGCGAAAGCGUGGGGAGCAAACAGG